UACGUAGGGGGCAAGCGUUGUCCGGAUUUAUUGGGCGUAAAGAGCUCGUAGGCGGUCUGGCGGGUCUGCUGUGAAAACUCGAGGCUUAACCUCGAGCUGGCGGCGGAAACCAUCUGGCUAGAGUCCGGAAGAGGAGAAUGGAAUUCCUGGUGUAGCGGUGAAAUGCGCAGAUAUCAGGAAGAACACCCGUGGCUAAGGCGGCUCUCUGGGACGGUACUGACGCUGAGACGCGAAAGCGUGGGGAGCGAACAGG
Molecule: ribosomal RNA, 253 nt
Filed under: uncultured bacterium
Lineage: Bacteria
Description: partial 16S ribosomal RNA
Rfam family: Bacterial small subunit ribosomal RNA
Source: RNAcentral